GGAGGAUGCGAGCGUUAUCCGGAUUUAUUGGGUUUAAAGGGUGCGCAGGCGGAGGUGCAAGUCAGCGGUCAAAUUGCGGGGCUCAACCCCGUACUGCCGUUGAAACUGCAUCCCUUGAGUGCGCGAGAAGUAUGCGGAAUGCGUGGUGUAGCGGUGAAAUGCAUAGAUAUCACGCAGAACUCCGAUUGCGAAGGCAGCAUACCGGCGCGCAACUGACGCUCAUGCACGAAAGCGUGGGUAUCGAACAGGAUUAGAUACCCUGGUAGUCCACGCAGUAAACGAUGAACACUAACUGUUCGGCCAAAGUGAUGGCUGAGUGGUACAGCGAAAGCGUUAAGUGUUCCACCUGGGGAGUACGCCGGCAACGGUG
Molecule: ribosomal RNA, 370 nt
Filed under: uncultured bacterium
Lineage: Bacteria
Description: bacterial SSU rRNA
Rfam family: Bacterial small subunit ribosomal RNA
Source: RNAcentral